Molecule: ribosomal RNA, 301 nt
Filed under: uncultured bacterium
Lineage: Bacteria
Description: partial 16S ribosomal RNA
Rfam family: Bacterial small subunit ribosomal RNA
Source: RNAcentral
CAGUAGCCACGGGAAUACAGAGGGUGCGAGCGUUAAUCGGAUUUACUGGGCGUAAAGCGUGCGUAGGCGGCUUUUUAAGUCGGAUGUGAAAUCCCUGAGCUUAACUUAGGAAUUGCAUUCGAUACUGGGAAGCUAGAGUAUGGGAGAGGAUGGUAGAAUUCCAGGUGUAGCGGUGAAAUGCGUAGAGAUCUGGAGGAAUACCGAUGGCGAAGGCAGCCAUCUGGCCUAAUACUGACGCUGAGGUACGAAAGCAUGGGGAGCAAACAGGAUUAGAGACCCCAGUAGUCCCUGUCUCUUAUAC